GCGGGUGUAGCUUAGUGGUAAAGCACUUACCUAGCAUGUGCUAGGUCCUGGGUUCAAUCCCCAGCACCACCC
Molecule: transfer RNA, 72 nt
Filed under: Ictidomys tridecemlineatus (thirteen-lined ground squirrel)
Lineage: Eukaryota; Metazoa; Chordata; Mammalia; Rodentia; Sciuridae
Description: Spermophilus tridecemlineatus (thirteen-lined ground squirrel) tRNA
Rfam family: tRNA
About the family: Transfer RNA (tRNA) molecules are approximately 80 nucleotides in length.
Source: Rfam by way of RNAcentral